UCUUGGAGUAUGUGUCCUGGAGCUGCGUUAGAAGGAAGGACAACUGUUAAUUCAUGGAAUAUGUGUUCAUAGGUCUGCAUAUAUGGUAUGUCACUCAAGUCCCUGUAUUUAGAAACACCUUUUUUUGUUCUUAAUGUACCAACAUGGUACAGCAAGCAGUGACUUAUGAAGGAGGCUUAAAACUUCCUCCCAACUUUACAUACUUAUUUAGGUACAAGCAGAUAUUUGAUGUCCAAGAAUACACUUACAUUGUUAUCUUUCUGGUCAUAAAUCGGAUGUGAAGGGCUCAAUGGAGUAAACUUUAUGCAAAUGCAAUCUCAAAUCACUCAAGUUGUGAAUUAUUUUAGCUGCUCCAAUCCUGACUUUGUAUUUAUAAAGUAAAUGUUGUGAAGUAAAAUGUAUUUACUUUACUCAAGGGAUCUUUCCAUGCAGGCUUUUAAAGAUGAACCCAAACAACCACUUUGGUCCUCUCCACUCAACCCUGCAACAGGCAGCUGGGUCUCUCCUAGCCUCCAUGAGGGAAUGAAAUCAGGACAACACGUUCAACCCCUUUCCUUCUGAGGAAGCUGAGUAGGAUCUGAUUACAGGUUUGAACUUGGUGAUCUCCAGCUGUAGGGAGACAAUUCUACCUUCUGAUGCAUAGAAGAAAGGGUGAAAUUCUGCCCCCCUCACUGAAGACAGUGCCAAAAUCCCCAUCGAGUACAAUGGGACGAGUUUAGAAUAGCAAAGAGCAUUGCCAACAGCUCUGCUCCAGCUCUGGGGGUUAGGAGAUGAUCGAAACUCAAGCUGGCGCUGUUGCUUAAUAUAAGAAUGCAUCUUCUCAAAUAAAUGCCAACAAAUUACACACUGAACUCAGUGAUCCUGCUUCCACAACUCAGUGAUACUGCAUCAACCAUGCCGGAGGAGGCAAGAGGCGGCGGGGGUAAGACCUAUUAUAUAUUGCCCAAGCUCAGAGGAAGCAGUCAUCAACAGUCAUUUAAAUUCAACUGUUUUCUAUACAAGUUCUUCCUUUUUUGAUGGAUCGCAUUACUUAGCAUGUAACUGGCUCCUGGAGCCUGGGAAAUUCUAGCACAGGGUCAUGCUCUUCCCCCACCCUCAUUGCUUUCCUGUCAGGCUGGAAACAAAGGACAGGAAUGAUGGAUUUUCCACUGGGGCAGGAUGAAGGCAAUUCACCCCUUCCACACUACAAAGCUCAUUUUAAACAGGAAACCUCAGACUUGGACUGCGACUCUAGCCUUUCCUCAUGUUUAUAAACAGUCUUGUAUUCUAGGAUCACUGCUGCAAAAGGCCACAGCUGGAAAGGAGGCUACUGCAGCCUUCUGGAUCACUGCUGCAGACUGCAGGGGGCUGUUUAAUGAGGUUGUUUGGGAAAUUUACCUUAACUUGAUGGCAAUAUGCUACAUGGUUAUAUGCACCGUUAAAGUGAACCUUUACUACGGCUUUGUACUGAUUUAACUAUAUUGGCUUCUAAAACAAUGUGGUUAAAUUGGGGCAAAAACUGUAGAUCACCCAUUACUAUCUAUUUUCUGACCAGGUAUAGAGGGCAGUUUUAAGGUAUUCCACAGUUUUCUCUUUAAGCUGGAUGGGAUGGAAAAGAUACUGCUUCCUUUACCUUUUGCUUACCCGUCACACACCUAUAACCACCUAUACUAGCAUUGCCAUAACAUCUCCCAGCCCUCAAUGGAUUAGACCGCGUACCAUUCAGGAAGAGAAGUAAUAUUAGCCCUGUUUUACAGGUAGGGAAACUGAGGCACUUUUUAUAAGUGGAAAGAAGUCUGUGUUCCCCAGUGCUUCCCUCCAAGGUUGUAUCCUGUAUGUGCACUGAACUUUAACUUCUCCAAAAUAACUUGAUAUCAGGUAAGAGCUGUACAUCAUGUGUCUGCUUCACUUUUUCUGCAGGGCAGAUUGAGAAGACUCGGGCAUAAAAGUCAAAUGUCCACACCGUAAUGCACAGCCAACUAGACUACUGUUUUGCCCCACCAAGUGCUGUCUCUCAAGUGACUGGAUGUACCCUUCACAUCAUCUGUGCAUGAGUAGCUCUGCAAUAACAAGUUAUUCUGGGGGCCUAGGAGGUCACAGCCUGGACCAAGAUCUUUUGUGCUAGGGACUGAGCCCUAACCCUAACCCUAACCCUGCUCCCAAAGAAUUGAUGACCAGCCAUUGCAAGGUCACAAAGUGCUUCGAUGCAGGAGCGGAAGUAGACAUUAUUUACCUGGAUUUUAAAAAGGCUUUUGACACAGUGUUGCACCCAGUUCUUACGAGCAAACUGAGUAGCUGUGAUGUGGAUUUUCUCACAUAAGGUGCACCACAAGCAAGUCUAGGGAAGUGAUAAUUCCCCUCUAUGCAGCAUUGGUGAGGCCACAGGCCGAGUACUGUGUCCAGUUUUGGGCACCACACUUCUAGAAGGAUGUGGAUAACCUUGAGAGGGUUCAGAGGAGAGCCACUCGCAUGGUUGAGGGCCUGCAGGAGGACCAAAGCUUGAACAAACAACUGACCUGACUGACCCUGCUGCAGAGCCGCUUCUCCCUCCUUAACCCAGGGGAUGAAAGGCAAAGCUGACACAGACUGAAAACUGUAAACUCAAGCUAUGGACAAAUGUAAUCAUCAACCUUUUUAAAAAGGUAUAGAUUCAUACAUUCAUAGACUGUAAGGCUGGAAGGGACCUUGGAAGAUCAUUGUGUCCAGCCCCCUGCACCAGGAAGGAAAGACAACUGGGGUCAGGUGACCCCAGCAAGGUGACCAUCCUGUCUCCUCUUGAAGAUCUUCAGGCUUCCAGCUUGGUAACUGCUCUUGGAUUUGUGAAUCAAGCUGGGUUCCUUCCACUUCAGGUAUCAUCGUCACCAGAAUUAGACAAUCCUGAGGUCAGUGAUGGAGUGUCCAGGGAGGCUGAAGUGUUCUUCCCCAGGCUUUUAUCAGACACAUCAGACUGCAAAGACUAGAUCCUGCCAUUGCAUCUUUUUUGGAUACAGCCCUGUGCCCUACGUAACACAAGUGUGCCUGAGAAGAUCUAGAACUAAGUUUGCUCCCUCCAGAUUUUGUUACUGCAAAGGGGAAUAGUGCAUGGGUGCCAAGAGCAAAACAAACGUGAGGCCCAAACACUUGCACACACCCCUAUUGGUUCAAAAUAAUAGCAACUGGCUAUGGUUAAAAGGAAAUUACAGCACCAGACAUAGGAGAUGAGUCAUGUUGUGACAGGGUGGACAGCUGUAGCUUUGUUUGCCCUUUUUUUUUAAAUGCAUUGGCUUGGAAUAAAGUGUAAACCUUGACUGUUGAAAUAUUUGUGAGUAUAUGGAGAAAGGCCUAUUCUGAACUGGUCUAGGCACAAAUUUUCCGUACAGUUCCCGUAAGUUGACUUUCAUUUUUGUAUUGUUGCCUCUGCAUUUUAAGAACCACUGGGGAGCUUCAUCAAAUCCUCAUUGACUUCCACGUGCGCCCUCUGCUGGCACAUUCAUGAACGUUCAGAAAGGUAAAAGCCUGGAAACCCCAAUGCUGAAUUACAACAGGGUCUCAAACCCCAGAGUAAAAUUCCUUUCUCCCUCUCCAAUAAAUGCUGACUCCUCACUCCGAAACCACACAGAAUAUCAUGUCCUGCUCAACAUAUUUGUAAUCAUUGUGUUUUGGAUUUUCUUGAGUAAUUCCUUCCGAAAUAGCUAAGACUUUAUUUUGGGUGUUUAAUAUCCUCAGAUUGAUAUGAUUUAAAUGGAGUUAUAACAAAUAUUACCUCACUUCUCUGAGAGUAAUUUUGGAAGGAGUCAGCUUCCUUCUUUCUCUCUCUCUCUCUCCCCCCCUUUCUCUUUUGAAUAGUUUAUCAGAAACAGGAUGUUGGUAAGCACUUGAAUAUCUUUGCAGGGGAUCAUUAUGAAAAUGGACUAAAGUUACAUAAUUUACAUUAGGCAGGAAACUUAGGCCUAAAGAUGCUCAUGAUAGGGCUGCCAUAACUAUUUAUGCAAUAUUAAUGAAAAUAAACACAUGUAACUGGA
Alligator mississippiensis (American alligator) is the source of this 3980-nucleotide long non-coding RNA. RefSeq lists it as uncharacterized. The transcript has 9 exons. The record is from RefSeq and is a predicted model, not a curated record. NCBI's taxonomy places the organism in Eukaryota, Metazoa, Chordata, Crocodylia, Alligatoridae.